UUGAGUCAUUUCUCAUCAGGGUUAGGCGGUUAGCUUGGUCCUUGCCGCCGCCGCGAGGGAUACGGGAUACCUCUCCUUCGCCGCCGACGAGCUCCCCGUCCUCUCCGGCAAGACUCCAUUGCAAGCCUUUGAAGCCUUCUUCGCAAGCUUCCGCGAUUCCUUCUCCGAUCUCUUCGGUUCCAUCAUGUCAUCACGGAUUUCAGGAUUUCAGGAUGUGAUGAUGACCGGACGGAGAGCUCCUGUACCCAUCGAUCCUGGCGAAGGAUACUAGAUCGAAGACAGCCAGCUCGUGUCCAAGGUGUUCGACGUUUUGCCUGCGAGAAUCUCCCAUAAUUGAAACUCUGGCGAAUGAGCUAAUCCAAAGGGGCUUUGCUGCCUUUCACAUCAGUCAAACACAUCAGUUUUGGCUUGUCUUGGUGUGCAACGGGGACAUGUUCGGGUUGAACACUUUGGCCUGAAGGUGACAAAAUUCAUUAGUGCGCAUGAGUCCAGCAUUGCCUGCUUGACCUUGACAAUGGAUGGUCUUCUUCUUGCAACUGUAAGUGUGAAGGAGACUUUAAUUAGGAUAUUUAACACUAUGGAUGGAACCCGUCUCAAGAGGUAAUGCUUGUGAUCUCAAUUGAAAUGACUUGUCUCAAAGAGAAGCUGUUUUCUCUGUGCAUUUUGAUGGUAGAAUUUUAAAUUGUUUUUCUGUAGAUAUUAACAGAGUUGGUGAUAUCCCGUGAGCAUGUUUGUUUCCUGAAAAUGAAUAUCAGGUUCUCAGUUAUGUGCUGUCUUGUCUUCUUACAUAAUGUAAUGAAUAGUUAUGUUAUAGGUGCGUAGAGGAGUGGACAAAGCUGAAAUCUAUAGCAUUUCAUGGUUGUUAAUGGUGAUUGAGGGUUUGAAGAGGAAGAGGAUGAGAGUGAGGAUGAAGGAGUUGGUGAUGACUGAUGAGAAUGAAGAGCCAGAGCUCCAUUGUUGCUGCUGUUUUUUCUUCUUGUUGUUGUUGGCAUGACUUUUCUUUGAUUUAUUUAGAGUUCAUCCCCAUGGUUUUUUCUUCUUCUUGUUGCCUUAUGUAUGAAUUUUGUUUAAUCCAUCGCGUUGGACCGUUUGUAUUGAUUUUACUCAAUUUUGUGUCCUUAGAUUUGUAUUAAUAAAUCUCAUGCUCUCUUGAUUCUGUAAACUCUUCAUCUUUAUGAGACAUUGAGACCCAAGUUCUUUUUUUUAA
This is a long non-coding RNA of Dioscorea cayenensis subsp. rotundata (Guinea yam), 1207 nucleotides long. RefSeq lists it as uncharacterized. Lineage: Eukaryota; Viridiplantae; Streptophyta; Magnoliopsida; Dioscoreales; Dioscoreaceae. The record is from RefSeq and is a predicted model, not a curated record. The transcript has 2 exons.